This 5561-nucleotide long non-coding RNA is filed under the name Homo sapiens (human). RNAcentral's name for it is "HSALNT0077980". The record is from RNAcentral. Lineage: Eukaryota; Metazoa; Chordata; Mammalia; Primates; Hominidae.
AAUCAUGCACAUUUUUUCUUUAAAAAAAACAGUUUAAGGGUUAAGAUUGUGAAAGGAAAAUAUCUUGGGCCCCUUCAAGCUGGGAACUGCUCAGGGCAAAUCUGCCUCCAUUCUAUUCGAAGUCAUCCCUCUGCUCACAGAGAUAGAGGCACAGCCAUCUGUCUCUCACCUACCAGUGACCUGGAAGCCCCUGAGGGGAGGGAGAGGGGGCGGGGGGAGGGCUUGCUUUCAGUUUUCUCCACCUUUCUGGAGGAACUAACGUACUUCUUCCAUAUAUUGAUUGAUGUUUUGUGUCUCCCUAAAAUGUAUAAAACCAAACUGUGCCCUGACUACCUUGGGCAUAUGUCAUCAGGAUUCCUGAGGCUGUGUCAUGGGUGCACACCCUCAACCUUGGCAAAAUAAACUUUCUAAAUUAACUGAGACUUGUCUCAGAUUUUCUGGGUUCACAUUUUGGUAACCACAGGGGGAUUCUGAGUGGAGAUACCCCUGACCUUUGACAAAUAUCCUGUUGGUGCUUGGUACCAGCAUGAGCUAACUUUAUGGUUCAAACCAAUAGGACAAUUUGCCGUGCACCCCCUCCAGAGAAUCCCUGAGCUCCAAAAAUUUGGUUGAGAUCAAAAGUUUAUUUUGCUGUACAACUCCUCUUUUUGAGGGAGUUUUACUUGCUUCCAACAGGAAGGCAGGUUUUCUUGCUUCCAUGAUGAUGGAAGGCAGACAACUCCUUUAUGGAGUUUGAGCUUGCUUCCAACAGGGAAGAUGAGGUUUUUUUUUUCCUUCUUCUAGGAUGGUAGAGAGCGGUCUACAGCCUGAGACCCAUCACCAGCUAUUGCAACAGAGGCUACUCUUUGGUUUUCAAGAAAGAGUGUGGCUGCGCGUGGUGGCUCAUGCCUGUCAUCCCAACACUUUGGGACACCGAGGCGGGAGGAUCACGAGGUCAGGAGUUCAAGACCAGCAUGGACAACCUGGUGAAACCUCAUCUCUACUAAAAAUACAAAAAUUAGCUGGGCAUGGUGGUGCGUGCCUGUAAUCCCAGCUACUCAGGAGGCUGAGGCAGGAGAAUUGUUUGAACCGGGACCCAAGAGGUGAGGUUGCAGUGAACCAAGGUCAUGCCACAGCACUCCAGCCUGGGCUGCAGAGCAAGACUCCAUCACAAAAAAAAAAAAAGUGUAGUUUAAUUUUAUGUAUAAUUUGGCUCAAAGAAAAAUAAAAGCAUCUCCCUCUAGCACCACCAGAUUUUCUUCUCUCUGUACCUUAUGAUGCAAAUUUUGCUAUUUGAUUUUCACCUGAGUUGUUUCCUUUAAUGUGCAAAUUUAAGGCUAUUUAGCUGACAACUGCCUAGGAUUGUGAAAGAGGUUAUCAAGAAUCUGAAAGUCUAAGAUAGAAAAAAAAAAAAUAGGGUGGGCGUUUCUUUAUAAACCUAUAAAAUGUACUUCUAUGGUCAUGCCUAAUAUACAUUGACAUGUAUUUAUAUGUUCUGUACAAAAUGUUUCACUGCUAAAAAUAUAUAAAAGAGCUCUAAUUAAUUGGCUUAAAGAAAAUAAAAGCACUUAAAUCAGCUACUAAAAAAGAAACGACUAGUCAAAUGCUUUUUCAAGUUUAUGUAACUUAAGUAAAAUCUUUAAUAAAUAAGCUAGCUUUAAAAUUAUUGGUAAAGUAAUAUUAAAAGUGUCUUAAGGAAUAACCAACAUAUAUUUGUGUUGCAUUUAUUAAUCAAGUAAAUUUUAUACUCAUCUCUGUCAAAUAUAUUUGUGUCAAAAUUUGGCAUAGGAGACACAAAACUAUAAACCCAGCCCAAAUCAGAAUGAUCUUUGUGUAAUUUUUAAUAAAUUAGACAUUUAUAUGGGUUUAAUGAAAAUAGCUGCAUCUUGAAUUUAGUAAGAUUACCUUAACUUCUAAUCCUGUGGUUUUAGGCAGUUUGGUUCACAGCCAAUAAAGAGGUUUAUUUUGGGAAAGGACUCUUAUUGUCUUUGUUUCAAAGCUAAACUUUAAGUUCCUCUCAAAGUUACUUUGGCCUAUGCCCAGGAAUGAACAAGGACAGUUUGGAUGUUAAGAGCAAGACGGAGUCAGUUAGGUCCAAUCUUUUUUCACCGCCUCAAUUAUAAUUUUCCAAUGGUAGUUUCAUAACUUUAAAUCAUGACUAUCACAGUUUUCAUAAAUAAUCUAGAUAAACAAUUACAAUAAAAUAAGUAAAUGUAAUGGAAUAAAUACUUGUAGUCAAACUGGUCUUAAUUUAGAAUAUAUGGUUAUAUUAAAUUAAAUGAUAGAUAUUUCAUUAUUUGAGUAUUUUCCAAUAAAUAUAUACUGUAGGAAAACAUUCUUGCUAAAAGAAAGUGUCCUUUUUUAAAAAAAGGUGAACAAGUUUUGAUUAAUUCAAAGUUUAUUUAAAGAUUAUGUAUAAAACAAGGUAAAAGGAACCAGGAGUAAAAAAAAUAUGUAAAGAAAGUUGUAAAAAUUAAGAGGUUUUUGUUUUUUGAGGUAAAAAAGCUUAAAGAUAAAUAAUUUUAUUUAAGAAAUAAUCUUCUGUGGUAAAUUUAGUCCUAAAAUAAAAUAACUGGUUGUUUAAAAAGGAGGGAUGUUCAGGAAAACCAAAAAGUCUGAACAUGUGAUGAACAGUAAGUGUAAGUCACAAUAAGAAGAUUUAUAUAUAUUUUUUAAAUUAUGUAAUUAAAUUGUCAUAUUAUUAUUAAGUUUUGGUUUGCUUAACAAAAGUGAGAUACAAUGUUUUUUUUAAUUAAGGCUAUUACAUCCAUGUAUCUUCCUGUAUGUGCUUUUAAAGUCCUUAUAAUACUGAGUUACGGGCUUUAACUCCUAAGUCUAAAAAGGACACCAAGUCCUGCUAAAUCUUAAACACUGACAGCAAUUAAAGCCUCAUCUUCAGGCCCUGUAGAAGAUGCCAAUCAAAAUAAACUGCAUUCCUGAGACAUAGGGCAAAAGAAUUAAAGCUAUUAAGUUCCUCAAGGCCCAGUGACUAUCAUGGAAGUGGUGGACAUGUAAGAUUACAAGGGCCGAUUUUGAAAAAUAAAAUAUAUUCAGUUUCUCUAUAAAUUAAUCAUUAGUGUCAAAGGCACACUGAUGCAAAACCAGUAUAUGGCCCCCUGUGUCAGAUUAACAAGAUUUUCUUGAAGCAUUAACCAACUCCUUAAUAAAGGUUAUAAAAGGCCUAUGGAAGCUAUAUUUUAUAAUCAAGAUUAAAUUUUAUAGAUUGUUUACAAAAUUUUGGAAAAGAAAAGUAAUUGGCUUCUUGCUAUUUUUAUUAGGGCUUGUUUAGAAAAGUAAGUCUCCUAUCUCAAAGAAUGAAGGUCUUCAUCUUUUUUUUUUUUUUUUUUUAAUCCUCGAGUUAUCACUUUGGUUAAAUAAAUGACUUUACAAUGACCUGUAAUCCUCUUUUGUAAUACCAAGUGUUUUAAACCUUUUAUAUUUGAUGAACUUCCCAAAACUAAAUUAUAAAUUAUGUCUUUUUCUAAUCUAAUUAAACCUUUAAGACAUUAGAUUUCCUAAAGUCCAAAAAUCACAUAUGUUGGCUUAUUUGGUAUAAAAAUUUUACAGAAAGCAUUUGUCAAACAUGAAAUGUUGUUUGGUUUUCUUUGGGUUGUAUUUGUAGGAAUAUGUUAUUGGUAUGUGUUCCAAAAUUAUGAGAAACUCCUAUAAUUCUGAUAUAACAGUGUACAUUAUCAGUAAUCAUAAUUGUUAUGUUAAAAUUAUUGUGUGCCACAGAGUUAACAAAUUUCCUUGUCAAUUGUGUCUUUGAACUAUGGCUGCCUUAAAACUUUUUUUUCAUUCAUGGACAAUUGUUGUCUUAUUUGGGCCUCUUUAGAAGGUGGUUUUAUAAUCAGCUAUAAAACUCCAACAGGUGCUCUGAAAUGCAGGUUUCUGAUAACUUUGGGGAUAGUGACAUCAGAAUAGAGGAAAAGCUUUCAGGACUCAUGAAGAGCUAAAAUGUUCAUGAGUCUCAAGCAGAACAGGAAUUAACUUCAUGGAUGGAACCAAUCUUUUUGACUUUUGCUUAAAAUGUUUGCUGAUCCUUUUUUUUAUUUUUCAGAACUUUUCUUUUGAGCUAUUGACAGCUUUUAACAAUUUAGUAUACUUCUUAUGAAUAAAAUUUGGAGCAUAUUUGUUUCUUUCUACCUUUGGAAUUUGGAAACUAUUUGUGACUAUUGUUAACUUAUGGCAAUACAGUUAUUUGCAUAAGUGUAAUUAGAAUAUAUUUUCAUUUGUAACAGGACACAAUUGGAGAAAUUAUUUUACCAAGGCUUUGACUGGAAUGAUGUACUUUCCUUUAAAGAAUAAACUUGACUUAUGGAGCCAAUAAAGCCCUUUUGAAAAACUGGCCUCAUGUUUUAUGUACACAGUCCAUGUGCAGGGGUUCUGACCUGUGGUAAGUGAAGAAUGUUACUUUCUGACAGGCACAGAAACCCCCAGGUUCAUCUUGGAACCUCAAGAGGAGAGGUAAUUCACCCAGUUCAUAGGUAUUUGAUGGCACAAAGUCAUGGCUGGGCUUGGCUUUAAAAAGUCUUGUCUGAGAUUCAUCCUAUGGAACAAAGUUCCAUCAAAGCCAAUUUAAAAGCCUAUGUAAAAAAUAAUUAUGCUUGCUGUGCUGUAUACAAAUAAUUAGGCCAAGUAUAGUAAGCAAACCAUUUCUACUAUGAUUUGUCUUUAGUAAAAUGAGAAACUUGAGAAAAAAAAAUUAUGUUUUAAAAUGAUUGUAUGCCUAUUGUUAGAUUCUAGUCUUGCCUAAUGUUUUAUUUUUCAGUGUUUAUUAUUUUCUACAGUUUGGACUGAAUUGUAAUUUUUCUAGGCUACAACUCUUCAAAAUAAUGUUUUUAAUUUUUUCUCCUUUUUUUCCAUUUUUCCUAAUUUGAAGUCACUGAAAACUAAGCUGUGCUUUCUUGAAACCCUGCAAACUGAAGCCAGACAACUUAAACUUAAAAGAAAAUAAAAGCAACCCAUUUACAUACAUAAACCACUUUCAUACCUGCCUACUAAUGUAUGGACUUCAGAGUAAUGUGGCCUAUAUCAAUUUUUCCAGGAUUGUUCGUUUGUUGUUGUUUUUUCUCCCUUUCUCCCCUCUAUUUUCUCUUCACAGGACAUGAGACUUCACAAUCUGCUAAAAAUGAGCUUUUGGGACCUACUCAUCUAGAAAUAAACCAUCCUAGCCAUGAGAGAUCAGAUGAAACCUGAAGCCAGAGAUUUAUUUUUUUGUAAAAUGCUUUCUACAAAAGAUUUGAAAAAAGAAAAGGGGGGAAAUGUGAAAAGAAAAUAUCUUGGGCCCCUUCAAGCUGGAAACCACUCAGGGCAAAUCUCCCUUGCAUUCUAUUCAAUGUAAUCCCUCUGCUCACAGAGAUAGAUGCAUAUUCUGAUUGGGCUUGCUUUAAGUUGUUUCUGUUUUUCUGGACAGAAAUAAUGGACUCCUUACAUAUAUUGAUUGAUAUUUCAUGUCUGCCUAAAAUAUACAAAACCAAACUGUGCCCCGACUACCUUGGGCACAUGUCAUCAGGAUUUCCUGAGGCUGUCAUGGGUGUGUCCUCAACUUUGUCAAAAUAAACUUUUAAAUUAACUGAGAU